AGAAGUUUAUUAUAAUUUAGUAUUUUUAAUUUUUUAUUAAAAAGUUUUUAACUUUUA
Molecule: transfer RNA, 57 nt
Filed under: Globodera rostochiensis
Lineage: Eukaryota; Metazoa; Nematoda; Chromadorea; Rhabditida; Heteroderidae
Also listed under: 1 other name
Description: tRNA-Lys
Source: RNAcentral